AGAGUUUGAUCCUGGCUCAGAUUGAACGCUGGCGGAAUGCUUUACACAUGCAAGUCGAACGGCAGCACGGACUUCGGUCUGGUGGCGAGUGGCGAACGGGUGAGUAAUAUAUCGGAACGUAUCCAAUAAUGGGGGAUAACUAAUCGAAAGGUUGGCUAAUACCGCAUACGCCCUACGGGGGAAAGCUAGGGACCUUCGGGCCUGGCGUUAAUGGAGCGGCCGAUAUCUGAUUAGCUAGUUGGUGAGGUAAAGGCUCACCAAGGCGACGAUCAGUAGCUGGUCUGAGAGGACGACCAGCCACACUGGAACUGAGACACGGUCCAGACUCCUACGGGAGGCAGCAGUGGGGAAUUUUGGACAAUGGGCGCAAGCCUGAUCCAGCCAUUCCGCGUGAGUGAAGAAGGCCUUCGGGUUGUAAAGCUCUUUCGCAAGGGAAGAAAACUUAGAUACUAAUAUUAUCUGAGGUUGACGGUACCUUGAUAAGAAGCACCGGCUAACUACGUGCCAGCAGCCGCGGUAAUACGUAGGGUGCGAGCGUUAAUCGGAAUUACUGGGCGUAAAGCGUGCGCAGGCUGUUUUGUAAGUCAGAUGUGAAAUCCCCGAGCUCAACUUGGGAACUGCGUUUGAAACUACAAGACUAGAAUAUGUCAGAGGGGGGUAGAAUUCCACGUGUAGCAGUGAAAUGCGUAGAGAUGUGGAGGAAUACCAAUGGCGAAGGCAGCCCCCCUGGGAUAAUAUUGACGCUCAUGCACGAAAGCGUGGGGAGCAAACAGGAUUAGAUACCCUGGUAGUCCACGCCC
This 800-nucleotide ribosomal RNA is filed under the name uncultured bacterium. RNAcentral describes it as "bacterial SSU rRNA". It matches the Rfam family "Bacterial small subunit ribosomal RNA", at positions 8 to 802 of the family's 1533-position model. The record is from RNAcentral.